GGGGUUUUUUUAAAAUUUUUUUUUCAGCUUCCGAUGAACGCUGGCGGCAGGCCUAACACAUGCAAGUCGAGCGGUAGCACAGAGAGCUUGCUCUCGGGUGACGAGCGGCGGACGGGUGAGUAAUGUCUGGGAAACUGCCUGAUGGAGGGGGAUAACUACUGGAAACGGUAGCUAAUACCGCAUAACGUCGCAAGACCAAAGUGGGGGACCUUCGGGCCUCAUGCCAUCAGAUGUGCCCAGAUGGGAUUAGCUAGUAGGUGGGGUAACGGCUCACCUAGGCGACGAUCCCUAGCUGGUCUGAGAGGAUGACCAGCCACACUGGAACUGAGACACGGUCCAGACUCCUACGGGAGGCAGCAGUGGGGAAUAUUGCACAAUGGGCGCAAGCCUGAUGCAGCCAUGCCGCGUGUAUGAAGAAGGCCUUCGGGUUGUAAAGUACUUUCAGCGGGGAGGAAGGCGAUAAGGUUAAUAACCUUGUCGAUUGACGUUACCCGCAGAAGAAGCACCGGCUAACUCCGUGCCAGCAGCCGCGGUAAUACGGAGGGUGCAAGCGUUAAUCGGAAUUACUGGGCGUAAAGCGCACGCAGGCGGUCUGUCAAGUCGGAUGUGAAAUCCCCGGGCUCAACCUGGGAACUGCAUUCGAAACUGGCAGGCUAGAGUCUUGUAGAGGGGGGUAGAAUUCCAGGUGUAGCGGUGAAAUGCGUAGAGAUCUGGAGGAAUACCGGUGGCGAAGGCGGCCCCCUGGACAAAGACUGACGCUCCAGUGCGAAAUGAGCGG
This 778-nucleotide ribosomal RNA is filed under the name Klebsiella pneumoniae. Its description in RNAcentral is "bacterial SSU rRNA". It matches the Rfam family "Bacterial small subunit ribosomal RNA", at positions 1 to 765 of the family's 1533-position model. Lineage: Bacteria; Pseudomonadati; Pseudomonadota; Gammaproteobacteria; Enterobacterales; Enterobacteriaceae. The record is from RNAcentral.